GACGAAAAAUAUAGAGAUGCGUCAUAAGUACAUAGAACAUUCGUUUGUUCACAACCACAGAGCAAAACAAAGGAUUAACAACCAGGCACUUUGUAAUUUUAGUCACUAUGGUCACUACAUACGGUGAAAAUGGUCACGUGCCGAAAAAUGGCACAGUCCGCCAUUUUGUUGUUUUCACGUUACUGCAAAGGCAGGCAAAGACACUAAGAUCAAAUACAUUAUGGAAAAUAAAAAGCAAAUGAAUUGGAGAUGGGCAAGACACUUAUAUUAAGACAAGACAAUAGGUGGACUAACCGAAUGGCAACAAGAGUUGCAUUUUAACGAUCGUAACCAAUAACUGUUUCGGCCAAUGGCAAGUUCAACCGCAACAGUUCAUACUUACUUCGAAUCCGAUUGCGAUACGAACACAAUUCAACCCUUGUGGCUUAUUUGUUGAGAAUUUGUGACGUCAAAAUUCGCUUCGCAUUCGCAGGAAGUAUGAAACUGGCGUUUGUCAUGACUGCGAAAACGCACCCUUAGAAAUACGAAGAAGAAACAACUUGGGCUAGAAUAGCAAGAAUGAGAAGGGAAUUGGCCUUUUUGAGGCAUGGUGGACACUAUAGGAGUGUACUGUUUGGUUAGGGUGCAUACAGUCAAAACCAAAUAGUGCAGAAGUGAUGUGUCCAACAUACCUCAAAAUGGCUCAUGUAUGUUGCACAAGGAGGGCUCAAUCCACCAAUGGAAUAACACAGCCCGAUGGUGAUGAUGGUGAUGAUACUCCUUUUGUAUCGAAAAAUUGUCACAUUUGUUGAGAUAUCCCCAAAUUCCCACUUGUUGAUAAUUCAUUCAAGUUGGUGUGGUGCAUUUAAUGGUGUUCUUUAAAAUCAGCUUGCGAUGCAUAGGAAACCAGACGACGUUGCAACAGACAAUUCAUCAUCUACUGCGCAGGAGCCGGCAACUGCACUUUUAGAUGGGGGUGUAUUGGUACUACUGUAAAAUUAUUUGUAAUGUUUGUUAUAAAAGUAAUGUUUUUUAAGUGAUAAGCGCAGAUUGAGAUCAAUGCAAAGUAGUUUUGUUAAGAUGGAAUGAUCCAAUGACCUCUCAUAUUAAAUGAGGGAGUUUUGCUUCUCCCGACAAAAAACAGACAGAUUGGUUAAAAAAUAAUAGAACACUCGUUCGUUCACAACCACACAGCAAAAGCACAGCAGUAACAAUCAGGUACUUUGCAAUUAAGGAAAGUUAGAGAUUCAAAAUGCCGAAUAACGAGACAACAGUAAAAAGGAACAUCACCGACGCGGUGACAAACACAUCGGUAGGAGAUCCAAGGAGGGGUCGUCCUUCACCUGGCGAAGAUGUGGGUCUGGCUGCGGGUCUAGUUGCGGGUGGAGUUGUGGGUGGAGCUGUAGCUUUAGCAGCAGCACCGAUACUAGUGGUCGUUGGAGCUGCACUUGGUGCUGGUAGUGCUGUCGCUUUUGGUGUUUCUUUGUUAUUUGGAGGUAAAAGAUAAUCGCCCAGAAGAGAAACCCAUACCUGUUGGAGUCUGGACACUGGCCAUUAUGAAAAACAACGGCAUCUCAAAAUUCUGACUCAAUCGGAACUCUCCAAUCUUAAAAGACAGUUCCAAACAUUUUAUAACUCACUACCUGCUGUCAAGCCUAUCCUAGAACCAUUUCAACAGAACUACACAAGAGCUAAGACAAAACUAAAAGAAACUAGUAAACUGAAGAGCACAACCAAGUGUAAACCUCCUUUGAGUGAGUUCUGGCUCUAAAAAGAGCCGGUGGGGUCUCGACGUUUCGAAGAGUAUACCCUACUGGUCUUCACAAGAAGUAAUGAUCCAAGAGUAAUAAAUACUUCCAGCCAAAGACUUAUGAUCUAGCUAAGAGACAACUCAUAUCCAGUCGAUUUCCUGUCAACUCGGCCUCGGCAAGACACCAGGUCGACACGUCAUGAUCGUUCUAAUUGUAAACAAUUGUUCGCUGUAAAAGUUUUUCAGUCAUUUUUGUAAUCAGCUGAGGUAGUUCUUAAUUUCGUUACCUCAUGUACUCAGAAUUUUUGUUUACUGAUUAUGAAGUUCGUACUAGAAUAAUUGUUAUCUGCUUCUGUGAAACACUACCCACUGAAAUGAAAUAAAGUCAUCAUCACUAGAGAAAUCUACAAAAACAAAACAAAAAAAAACCCUGCUAGUUUAUGUUGUUGCAACCAAAUAUUAGGAUAACUGAGCCCAAGUUUUCACAUAUUUGUAAUUUCAUGUAAAUGGUUGGUCACACACAAGACAUGAAUACUGUCUGCUACUGAUUUUUCAGUGUUACCAGUCCUGUAUUAUACCUUUAAAGACACUGGGCAUUAUU
Molecule: long non-coding RNA, 2330 nt
Organism: Asterias rubens (European starfish)
Lineage: Eukaryota; Metazoa; Echinodermata; Asteroidea; Forcipulatida; Asteriidae
Exons: 2
Source: RefSeq, a predicted model, not a curated record